This 460-nucleotide ribosomal RNA is filed under the name uncultured bacterium. RNAcentral describes it as "partial 16S ribosomal RNA". It matches the Rfam family "Bacterial small subunit ribosomal RNA", at positions 338 to 795 of the family's 1533-position model. The record is from RNAcentral.
CCUACGGGAGACAGCAGUGAGGAAUAUUGGUCAAUGGACGAGAGUCUGAACCAGCCACGUAGCGUGAAGGAUGACUGCCCUAUGGGUUGUAAACUUCUUUUAUAUGGGAAUAAAAUGUUCCACGUGUGGGAUUUUGUAUGUACCAUAUGAAUAAGGAUCGGCUAACUCCGUGCCAGCAGCCGCGGUAAUACGGAGGAUCCGAGCGUUAUCCGGAUUUAUUGGGUUUAAAGGGAGCGUAGGUGGAUUGUUAAGUCAGUUGUGAAAGUUUGCGGCUCAACCGUAAAAUUGCAGUUGAAACUGGCAGUCUUGAGUACAGUAGAGGUGAGCGGAAUUCGUGGUGUAGCGGUGAAAUGCUUAGAUAUCACGAAGAACUCCGAUUGCGAAGGCAGUUCACUGGACUGCAACUGACACUGAGGCUCGAAAGUGUGGGUAUCAAACAGGAUUAGAUACCCUUGUAGUC